Molecule: long non-coding RNA, 382 nt
Organism: Brassica napus (rape)
Lineage: Eukaryota; Viridiplantae; Streptophyta; Magnoliopsida; Brassicales; Brassicaceae
Exons: 2
Source: RefSeq, a predicted model, not a curated record
CAGGAGUCUUGAAGUUGUCGAGGAAUUGAAGAGUAGCUCUCUUAGCAAUCUCAAAACCAUCAACUAAGACACGUGGAUGCAUUUGAUAGGUAUAAACAUACUUAUUCGAGAAGAAGGUGGAAAGGAGCUGAGCUGGCAAGUGAGAAGGGAGCUGAGGAGCUUAAGUGACACGUGGAAAUCAUCAGAAGAAAGAUGGAUGAGUAUAAAUAGAUUUGUAGAGUGGCAGUUAGAGAGGAUCGAUCAUUUUACAAUAAUAUUGAUCUAAGCGUAUGAGCUUGAUCCUUACUCGUAUGAGAGUGAGAGAUUCGAUCGUAUGAGAUCGUCUCUAUUGUUGUAAUUUGAUUGAGCAAACCUUUAUAAGAAGUAUUCAGUUGAGUAUAGA